This 449-nucleotide ribosomal RNA is filed under the name uncultured bacterium. RNAcentral describes it as "partial 16S ribosomal RNA". It matches the Rfam family "Bacterial small subunit ribosomal RNA", at positions 29 to 523 of the family's 1533-position model. The record is from RNAcentral.
AGCGAACGCUGGCGGCAGGCUUAACACAUGCAAGUCGAACGCCCCGCAAGGGGAGUGGCAGACGGGUGAGUAACACGUGGGAACGUACCCUUUGGUUCGGAAUAACUUGGGGAAACUCAAGCUAAUACCGGAUAAGCCCUUAUGGGGAAAGGUUUACUGCCGAAGGAUCGGCCCGCGUCUGAUUAGCUAGUUGGUGAGAUAAUGGCUCACCAAGGCGACGAUCAGUAGCUGGUCUGAGAGGAUGAUCAGCCACACUGGGACUGAGACACGGCCCAGACUCCUACGGGAGGCAGCAGUGGGGAAUAUUGGACAAUGGGGGCAACCCUGAUCCAGCCAUGCCGCGUGAGUGAUGAAGGCCUUAGGGUUGUAAAGCUCUGUCCUCUGGGACGAAGAAAUGACGGUACCAGAGGAGGAAGCCCCGGCUAACUACGUGCCAGCCGCCGCGGUAA